RNAcentral lists this ribosomal RNA (2088 nucleotides) under human gut metagenome. Its description in RNAcentral is "bacterial LSU rRNA". It matches the Rfam family "Bacterial large subunit ribosomal RNA", at positions 334 to 2541 of the family's 2925-position model. The record is from RNAcentral.
AGAAUUACCUGGAAAGGUAAGCCGGAGAGGGUGACAGCCCCGUACGAGUAGAAAAGCUGACUGUUCUUGAGUAAGGCGGAGCACGAGAAAUUCUGUCUGAAAAUGGGGAGACCACUCUCCAAGGCUAAGUACUACUGAUUGACCGAUAGUGAACAAGUACCGUGAGGGAAAGGUGAAAAGCACCCCUAUAAGGGGAGUGAAAGAGAACCUGAAACCGGAUGCCUACAAGCAGUCGGAGGGUCUAUAAGGCCUGACGGCGUACCUUUUGUAUAAUGGGUCAGCGACUUAAUUUAUGUAGCAAGCUUAAGCCGAUAGGUGUAGGCGUAGAGAAAUCGAGUGUUAACAGCGCGUUAAGUUACAUGAAUUAGACCCGAAACCGAGUGAUCUAGCCAUGAUCAGGUUGAAGGUUGGGUAACACCAACUGGAGGACCGAACCCACUCCCGUUGAAAAGGUAGGGGAUGAAUUGUGGCUAGGGGUGAAAGGCCAAUCAAACUCGGAAAUAGCUGGUUCUCCGCGAAAACUAUUUAGGUAGUGCGGUGAGCGGACACCUUGAGGGGUAGAGCACUGGAAGAGCUAAGGGGGAGCGAUCCUUACUAAACUUUACCAAACUCCGAAUACUCAAGAGUGAUACUCACCAGACAGACAUUAGGUGCUAAGGUCUAGUGUCGAGAGGGAAAGAGCCCAGACCGCCAAUUAAGGUCCCAAAAUUAUGGCUAAGUGGUAAAGGAAGUGAAACGUCCAAAACAGUCAGGAGGUUGGCUUAGAAGCAGCCAUCCUUUAAAGAAAGCGUAAUAGCUCACUGAUCUAAACAAGACGUCUUGCGCCGAAGAUGUAACGGGGCUAAAGCCAUAUACCGAAGUUGCGGAUUUACACGUUAAAGUGUAAGUGGUAGCGGAGCGUUCUGUAAGCCUGCGAAGGUGUACCGUAAGGUAUGCUGGAGGUAUCAGAAGUGAGAAUGCUGACAUGAGUAGCGAAAAGAAGAGUGAGAGACUCUUCCGCUGAAAGUCCAAGGUUUCCUGCGUAAAGCUAAUCUGCGCAGGGUUAGUCGGUCCCUAAGGCGAGGCAGAGAUGCGUAGUCGAUGGCAAUCAGGUUAAUAUUCCUGAACCGGCCCGGAAGUGACGGAUUGAGUAAAUUGUAAGUUCUUAUUGGAUUGAGCUUGCAGUGAAUCAGUCCCAGGAAAUAGCCCGGGCUAAGACCGUACCCAAAACCGACACAGGUGGACAGGUAGAGAAUACCAAAGCGCUUGAGAGAACUAUGUUGAAGGAACUAGGCAAAAUACUUGCGUAACUUCGGGAUAAGCAAGCCCCAUUUUAAGGCAACUUAGGGUGGGGGGCACAUACUAGGGGGUAGCGACUGUUUACUAAAAACACAGGGCUCUGCUAAAUUGAAAGAUGAAGUAUAGGGUCUGACGCCUGCCCGGUGCUGGAAGGUUAAGGAGAGAUGUGCAAGCAUUGAACUGAAGCCCCAGUAAACGGCGGCCGUAACUAUAACGGUCCUAAGGUAGCGAAAUUCCUUGUCGGGUAAGUUCCGACCUGCACGAAUGGCGUAACGACUUCCCCGCUGUCUCCAACAUAGGCUCAGCGAAAUUGAACUCUGAGUUAAGAUGCUCAGUACCCGCGGUUAGACGGAAAGACCCCGUGAACCUUUACUAUAGCUUUGCAGUGGUAUUAGGUAACAAAUGUGUAGAAUAGGUGGGAUGCUAUGAAGCUACGACGCCAGUUGUAGUGGAGCAGACUUUGAAAUACCACCCUUUUGUUGUUUGAUAUCUAACCUGCUCCCGUUAUCCGGGAGAGGGACCCUGCAUGGUGGGUAGUUUGACUGGGGCGGUCGCCUCCCAAAAUGUAACGGAGGCGCGCAAAGGUUGGCUCAGAUUGGUCAGAAAUCAAUCGUCGAGUGCAAUGGCAUAAGCCAGCCUGACUGCGAGAGAGACAUUUCGAGCAGAUACGAAAGUAGGUCAUAGUGAUCCGGUGGCUCUGUAUGGAAGGGCCAUCGCUCAACGGAUAAAAGGUACUCCGGGGAUAACAGGCUGAUUCCGCCCAAGAGUUCACAUCGACGGCGGAGUUUGGCACCUCGAUGUCGGCUCAUC